Molecule: ribosomal RNA, 120 nt
Filed under: Prolemur simus (greater bamboo lemur)
Lineage: Eukaryota; Metazoa; Chordata; Mammalia; Primates; Lemuridae
Source: RNAcentral
AUCUACAGCCAUAUCACCCUGAACGCGUCCGAUCUCAUCUGAUCUCAGAAGCUAAGCAGGGUCGGGCCCAGUUAGUACUUGGAUGGGAGAAACAUUCUUGCUAAACUGCUGCUUUACUAC